This 414-nucleotide ribosomal RNA is filed under the name uncultured bacterium. RNAcentral's name for it is "bacterial SSU rRNA". It matches the Rfam family "Bacterial small subunit ribosomal RNA", at positions 505 to 916 of the family's 1533-position model. The record is from RNAcentral.
GUGUCAGCAGCCGCGGUAACACGUAGGGGGCAAGCGUUGUCCGGAUUUAUUGGGCGUAAAGAGCUCGUAGGUGGCUGAGUAAGUCGGAUGUUAAAUCCCCAGGCUCAACCUGGGACACCACCCGAUACUGCUCUGGCUAGAGUCCGGUAGGGGAGCGUGGAAUUCCUGGUGUAGCGGUGAAAUGCGCAGAUAUCAGGAGGAACACCAGCGGCGAAGGCGGCGCUCUGGGCCGGUACUGACACUGAGGAGCGAAAGCGUGGGUAGCAAACAGGAUUAGAUACCCUGGUAGUCCACGCCGUAAACGUUGGGCACUAGGUGUGGGGUCUAUUCAACGGACUCCGUGCCGUAGCUAACGCAUUAAGUGCCCCGCCUGGGGAGUACGGCCGCAAGGCUAAAACUCAAAGAAAUUGGCGG